RNAcentral lists this long non-coding RNA (1220 nucleotides) under Homo sapiens (human). RNAcentral's name for it is "HSALNT0342587". The record is from RNAcentral. Lineage: Eukaryota; Metazoa; Chordata; Mammalia; Primates; Hominidae.
CAAUUUUGGCCUGCAAAGACUUCCUUCUCUCGCCUCUACUAUCCAACUCCUGUGAGGGACUCAGGCAUAGUUCGGGCGGAGGCAGAAAGAGCGAGCGCGCGAAGAACUUCGGUAUUGAGGUUGCUAAGGCUUCUCCUCAUGUGCUUCAAGAGAAAGUAGCCUUUAACUGUGGAAAGGACACCAGGGGGACCGGGGAAGGGGAGAGCAGUGGUAAAAAUGAGCCAGAAGCAGAUAAGGCGACUGCCCGCCCCGCGGAGAGCUGCCUUCUGGGACUUGUAGUGCGCGGGGCCCCCGGAGCCGGCUGGCUGCGCAGGCUCGGCCGUUGCGCUGGCCCCACCCCGGCGGGCGGAGUAACGGUUUGGAAUCCCCCGGGGUCAGCGAGCGCUUGUUUCCUCCGCCUGGUGUAGCAAAAGUGUAAACACGCGCGCUCCGGAAGGCGCCCUCCAGUGGGAGGUUGCUCAGGGGAUGGCGGAGCUGUGAAACUCGGAGCUAGAAGGAAAGUCUCAACGCUUGUCUAAAUUUUGCUUUGUCGUGACGAGCUACCUAGACCCACGCAGAGCUAACUUGGGAGAGCGCUUGUGACGCUACGAACCUCUCGAACACCUGACGACUGGGCGCCAGGGCCGGAUGGAGGGUGGAGAGCCAGUGCGGCGCAGCUGCCUCCUCUUAACGGGGACACCUUGCAGGAAUGUGCGGAGUGGAGCUAACGGGAGCGGAUAGAAACCGAGGGAGGGGAAGAGAGCGCGAAGGCUUGGCCGGAAGGAGAGGUUAAAAAGGAAAGGCCUAAAAUGAGGAAGAGAGUUACCACAACAAGCAGUACCUAGUUCCAGUUCUUGGUCCCAGGAGUUUGUGGUUGUUGCUGCUUUCAUCUUCCUCAGCCAACACAAAAGGAAAGUGCCAAGGGGCGAUUCCUAGGACCUUCAGUGCAGUCUCCACCUUGCGGACUUGGCUCAUUUGUGUCCACUCCUUUCUCCAGCCUUUUACACUUGAUGCUCUUGGAUGAAUAGAAAGGAGCACAAUUAAUGGAAAACACAAGCUUGGGAGUCAAGGGAUUUGGGUUCUAUUCUUGUCCUCCCUUGGUGACGACAUCAUUACCUUGGGUUAUUCAAGCUUUCAGUGCCAGAGUUCCUAUAUCAAUAAAAGAUUAUUACAUUGACCUCUUAGAGAAAUGUUUUCAUGGUACUGAAUUGCAAAUAAAGUAUGUGUAGCGAUGUGUUAUA